This 382-nucleotide ribosomal RNA is filed under the name uncultured eukaryote. RNAcentral describes it as "partial 18S ribosomal RNA". It matches the Rfam family "Eukaryotic small subunit ribosomal RNA", at positions 592 to 976 of the family's 1831-position model. The record is from RNAcentral.
UGUAAGCGUAUACCAAAGUUGUUGCAGUUAAAACGCUCGUAGUCGGAAUUUGGCAGUUCCGGAUGUGUGCACGUCGUGUGCGCACUUCGCGGGGAUUGCUUUUGUGGUCUUGCGUAGGAUGAGGCACUUUUAUUAGUGAACGUCCUCACGCAACCACUUUUUACUGUGAGAAAAUCAGAGUGCUCAAAGCAGGCAUUUGCCGUGAAUGUAUUAGCAUGGAAUAAUAGAAUAGGACUUGGUUCUAUUUUGUUGGUUUGUUGGGACUGAGUAAAGAUUAAGAGGGACAGUUGGGGGCAUUUGUAUUUCGGUGCUAGAGGUGAAAUUCUUAGAUUACCGAAAGACAAACUGCUGCGAAAGCGUCUGCCAAGGAUGUUUUCAUUGA